Peromyscus leucopus (white-footed mouse) is the source of this 8344-nucleotide RNA transcript. RefSeq lists it as uncharacterized. The transcript has 2 exons. The record is from RefSeq and is a predicted model, not a curated record. NCBI's taxonomy places the organism in Eukaryota, Metazoa, Chordata, Mammalia, Rodentia, Cricetidae.
GUGCGGAUGGCGUGCGGCAGGAGGCGGCGCUGCCCACGACGGUCCUCGCUCCAGGCUCGCGCAACCGGGCUCUCGGCGCGCUCGCCGCCGGCGGCCGAGUCGGGGGAGACGCCGAGGGGCGGGAGCGGCGCGGCCCGGCCCGUGAUUGGCCCCGCUCGCCCCGGGGGCGGGGCCAGGAGGAGCGGCACGAGCGGGUUGCGAAGGGGCGGGAGCGGAGAACUUUCUAGAGAAGCGGUUAAACGGGUUGGGGCUCUUGGGCCGAGGGCACCCGAGGUUUUUUUCUUUUUUUGGGGGGGGGGGGGGAUUUGUUUUUCUGGUGAUGGCUCCGGGGGGCGGCCUCCUCUCCCGCUCCGGGGCCUCUCGGAUGUCAGUGAUCAUACCCUUCCCCACGUCCUCCUCCCCACCCCCACCCCGCCGGAGUCGAGCCGAUUUUUCCAGAUCCUUCUCCAUCCUCUGGACUCCCAAGUCCGGGCCUGCCUGCCGGCCCGCCCCGUGCACCCAGCCCCGCAGCGUAGUAUCUGGAGCCGGAGCCAGGCAGCCAGAUGCGAGCGAUCGGACCCCAGGCACCCGUGGCGUGGGCACCUAAGCCAUGUGGGGAUUCGAGGCCGAGGGAGUGAAGGCCCGGGUGCACAAACUGUGGGACACAACAGCUUUGUCCUCCCCGCAGCCUGGCAGCCCCGCCGGAUGAGCUGCCUUCCAAAAUUCCGUGAGCAGGGGGCCUUGGAAGUGGGGUACGUGUGUGUGGUGUGUGGAAGCACUUCCUCCCACCAUACUAACCAGCCUUUUUUUGUUAGUGGUGGAGCACGAAGUGGUUUGAGCUCACGAGGGGAAAAAAGUCCCCUUUCCCUUUUUACCAAAGGUGGACAGACAGAAAGGAAUUUUUUUCAUCGCAGCCGCCGCUCCUUAGUGAUACCUGUGGAGUUGUAGUUACUGCAACAGCGCUGGCGAGAUCGGAAGAUCUGCCUGGCGAGGUCCUGACUCUGCCCAGCACUAUAGUACCACAGAUACACAUAGCGCCUGAAUGACAACACAGAAGAGAGAGAAACCAUUAAAAACGAAAGGAUUCGUCAGUGAAACAGAAAUGGAAGCUAGAAAAGGUGGAACGAAUUUCCCCAGAAUGAAAACAAAAAAUGCAAGGCGCUAAAGACGAUGACAAAAGCCUUCAACAAAGAGGAAUGAUGGGAAAUGCAAACAGGAGUCAGGUGGGAGAAGCCGGCCCGUUCUGCCUCCUGGUGGUGUGACUCGGAACGCUGUGUGUGUCUUUCCAGGUCGGGAGUCAGCAUGCACAGUAACGGGUUUCAGUGUGGCCUUUCACAUGUAGAUGUCACUGUCCUUUGUUCUUAUGCCUACUGCUCUCUCCCACCUCUCUCCUCCUUCUCAUUGUCCUCUUCCUUUUCCCAAAUGGUUUCCCUUUCUGCUCUCAUCUCCUGUAGAGACACAUGUAUACAUUUAGAUUCCACACAUGAGAGAACAUGUAGUAUUUGUUCAAGUCUGGCUUAUUUUGCUUAGCAUAAUCUUCAGCUCUAGCCAUCUUCCUGUAUGGUUGAAUACCAUUUCACUGUGCAUAUCUAUCACAUUUUUAAGUGCGCCUGUUGCUGGACCCUUGGCUACUCGACCGUUUAGGGGUUGUGAAGAGUGCAGCAGUGAGCUCGAACUCCUUCGUAAGGUUUAGCAUCCUCUUCGUUGGAUUUAGCAUCCCCGUCAUUGUUUUGCUGCUACUUUAAAUGCCUUCAAAGAUUUUCUGUUUACUGCUGGUACAGAAAAUGCACUUUUGUGUUGGAGAGGUGUUUCAGCUGUUAAAGACUAGGCUCAGAACCAAAAUGCCAAAAUGCAUUUUAUUUGUUUUAUGCGAAAUUUUCAUAACAAAACUUACUGUGUAACCAUUAUUACUGUUUUUAUGUUUUGGAAGUGAGAUCUCACCAUGUAUCCCAGAGUGGCCUCAAACUUAAAAUCCUUAUGUCUCUGCCUUACAAAUGCUUGGCUUAAAGUUCUGUACUACCAUGCCUGGCCAUUUUUUUUUAACCAUUCCCAAGUAGACAGUUCAGUGGCAUUAAAUACAAGGAUGUACAAUCGUCCUUUUUUUUUUUUAAAAAAAAAAAAAAAAACAAAACACAGAAUCUUGUAUAGCCCAAGCUCGCCUUGAAAUUUUGGUGUGGUCAAGGGUGACCUUGAACUUCUGAUUCCUCUGCUUCUUCCUCCCGACUUCUGGGAUUACAGGUGUGCACCACCAUACCUGGCUUCUUAUUGUUCGCCCUAGGGUCUCGUUGGUCUCAAGCUCAUGUCUCUUUUCCCCUGAAUGAUGGUAUUAUAAGCACCCUCUACCACAGUUCUUGUUUUAAGCAACAUGCUUGUGGUAAUUUGUUGUAUCUGUUGUACGUAUAGCAUUCAGGGUUUAGCAAAGGCCAUGGGCUGAGUUAUUGAGACUCUGAGUUCGUGUUGUUUUAGUCUACCAUAUUGUUUGCAGUGUCCUGGGGACAACAGGAGAAAGCCACCCCAGGGUGUACCUGAGCAUCUGUGCACAUCAGCGGAUGAGGCUCAGAUGGAUAAACUGCUGUUUGAAUUGAAGGCGAGAAUUCUGAGGCGGAGUCUGGUAGAUGCUGGGAGCCGAGAAACCGGCCUCCGAGGCGUGUAGGUUGUAUCACGUGGCUGAAUGGAGAGGAAAGAACACUGAGGAAGACAACUCUCUUCAGCUCCGUCUCCUCAGGCAAACACGCUGGGCUCUUUGUUAUGGGAGAAUGGCCCCACCUAGUUCCGUGAGCCAAGCUGAUUCUGUCAAAGAAGAGUGGGAAUCUGGGAAGGCAAGGCCACCUCCUCCUUGGACUCUCUGGCUCAUUUGAUUGCUUAGCAUGUCCCAUCCCUUCGACCACCUGGUGCUGGCUCACUGAUACUGUAGGAAGAUGGUGUGAGGAGGCUUGUUGCUUAGUCUUAGUAAUGUCCUACCUUGUUAUUCUGUAUCCUAAAAAGGCAGAGACCUGGUUGGACGUGAGGUGGGGGCAGGACAGUAGCACAAGGCUCCAGAGUACACUGUUGUGUGGAGCCUGGGACAGUAUAGCGUUGUCCUCUGUACCCCUCCUGCCCUGGUAGUACAGUACUCAAGAGCGGGAUUGUGGGCUGGGUGCCUACCCAUGUCCCUUUGCUUCAGGAUCUCUGACUGAGGCUUCAGGUCUGGGACUCCAGGAUGCCUCCAGACCGGUGGGUAGUGAUUUUUCUGUUUUCUUUCCUUCUAUCUUCUCUUGGGAAGCUCAAAAUCAGUGUCUUCCAGGAAGACCGCCCUGAUUGCUCCACCCCACCAUGGGCUCUUUUCUCUGCUGCAUAUGUGUGGUGUUCCGUGACGGUCAUUACAGUUCAGUUUAUCAUGGGGCCGGUGCUCACAUGUUCUUCACUUGUCACAGAGUUAUGGGUGGGGUGCGUGUCUUGCUUUCUAAUAAGACUACCAACUUCCUGGGCUCAACUAAGACGACUGGGGCUUUGGAAGCCCAGAAACAGCUGCUGUCUGGAACAGGUUUCUGCCUGCUAGGGUGGAUUUCUGCGGGUAAGGUGGCCAUCGCAGGCCCUCGUCUCUUCAGCAUACUCUCCUUUCAUUCAUUUGUUCUGUAAGCAAACAUCCCCUUUACCGAGUUCCCUGUGUGAGAGGUGAAGCAUUCAAAGAUGGAUGCUUGGCAGUUCCUCUGUAUUUGCCUUGGGCGCCUCAAUUGCACUGGAGCGUUCACUUCCUCUGCGCACUUGGUUUCUGUUAGGUCUCCAACCGGGGACAGAGGGCUCACUGAGAUGCCUAUUAACAUAUCAAAGCAGACACUGGCGGCCAAGUUCUCCCAGCAUCCCUCAGUCCCUACCUGUUAGGGAGUUCUCCUGGCUGCCAUACCCUGCGCACUACCCUGAACUCUCCAGCCCAACCAACUGCUGGGCUGGGCUUCCCUCCCGCUAGCUCCUCUGGCCCCCAUAUAACUGGCCAGUUUUAGCAGCAUGUGUCUCUUGGCCAGUUUCUUGACCCAGGCCGCCCUUUUUGGUCAGAGGCUCUUCUUUUUGCUCUCCCUCCUCUCCUCACAUGGCCUGGCUCUGUCUGCCUCGUUCACUCGGGACUCUCCCAGAUGUCUCCAUCUCUACCUGCUGUCUCCCUUAUAUCUAUAAUACAAACCUCAACCCCUUAGGAGCAGUCAUGUCCUCCUUUUAUUUCUUUUUUUCAUUCAGUUCACAGAUAAUGCAUCCAAUCCCAAGCUGCUUCCUAAUCCAUUGUCUGUGUUAGGUGUUAGGCAAAUUUCUAGACACUUAGAUCUGCUGCUUCUCAUCAGAAAGAAGCACGUGAAAUCACAUGACUUGUUGAAACUGGGGAGGUCCUAAUUGGUAUCUGGAUUUCCACCAAAAGCUAAAAAACCCAGAACACCAAAGACAGGCUAUUCUACCAGAAGGGGCUGAGUUUAAAUAGGAAGGAGCUAGUGGUUUUAGGGUCUUCACAUAUGAGCACAAAUCACAGUGUACAGUGACUCCUUCUUAAAGCAGCAGAGACGGAGUAGCGAUGAUGACAGGAUGUAGGGAGGAACACGGGACAAUCCAGUCUGCUGUUUGGUGGGGCAGGGUCUUCUGUCAAUUACAGAGCCAACUUGUGACACCCUGAACACCGAAAUGGGGAGCUGACCAAUCUGGGCCGCCAACCACUCAUCCCAACUUGUCUUCAUCAGUUGCCCCAGUCACUUUGGCUCAAGCCAGGGGAGAACCCAGGUAUUCCUACACGGCUUUCAGAUCGCUAGACAGAUGCCAGUCUGCAGUCCAAAGGUGGAUAAUGUGCAAGCUGGCGGGUAGAGGAAGAUGGGGAAGGGUUGAAUCUAGAAGGGCAGAGUGAUGUUCUCUAGUCCACCUAAUUUUUGAGUUAGUUGCUUAGUGUGAUAGGUUUCUCCUUUCACAUUUGUCUUAAAAAUAUAUACAGUGAUUUGUUUCAAACAAAAGGAAAAAUCAGUCUUUCUCUCCCAUUGUCCUUUUGUCUUCUUUAAAAGAAGUUUCCAAAUCUUUCUGGAAAGCUUAAAUCCAAGCGCAGCAGUAAACUGAUUUGGGUUUGUAGCUCUUAGGAGGUUGACACUAAUCUGUGACAGUCACAACUUGGUUGUUAACAGUCACAUGACAACGGUAUAUUUUUGUUGUGUGAAAGCCAUUAUGAGAACAGAAAGAAGUCUCCUGGAGUCUGUGGUCAGUUAGCUUAGAACCUGUGGGGAGCAUGCAGACAGGAGCUGGUGAUCCUGGCAACAUCAUCUGAUAAGAGCAGUGAAUGUGUAGCUCUACCCUGGAAAGAAAGACUGCGAGGGGCGUGUGACUCCACCCAAGGAGGAGCACACCUAGUUCAUCUGGAGGGAGAAAAUGUCUUCUUCAUUCUCCGUGUUGCAAUAACCAGACCCAGCAUCUGUCUGGGAUGAUAACAUGUAUAAUGGUGAACUCAUCCCUCGUCAGUUUCCCACAGAGUGCUCCACAUGUUUCUAUGUCACGGGCAGGGUUAACAUUGGUGAACUGGGGAAGCUUGACAGAGCUUCAAGGUACCGUCCGUGCAGUGUGGUCCACUGAUGAUGGGAACAUUUCUGGGUUGCUCAGCACUCCAGGGCUUAAAGACUUGUCUACCACUGGUGACCUAGCUAGCCUUAUGGCUGUGUUACAGUCUGAAGCCUGUGGAUAACACCCAGGUUGUGAAUGCUUAUCCGGGGCUUUUCUAAGUCUGGCCCCUGUGGCCCUCCGGGUCUGGAUUUAUCUUGAUAAGCUCUUGCUCAAUUUUUAGUCACUCUUUUUCCAGCUCCUGGUUCUGGAUCAUCUUCUCAAAGGCAUGGAACUGUUUCUGUUCUAACUGAUGCAGCUUUUGCUCUUUCCCCAGCUGGGCGGCCAUGUUCUGGGAAAAUUCUAACUCUUCCUUCUUCUCUUCAUAUUUUUCACAUUCUUUGGUGUGUGUUUCCAAACUGUUUCUGGUUCUUCUGCCUGGAGAAAAGCAAGUUCUUUAAUUUCUUGACUGUGUCUUCUCAGGAAUGACAACUACUUUGUCAUCCCGCUACCUGGGGACUUCUCUAUGAAGGACUUGAUGUACUUGCUAUAGAGGAUAAAGGCAUGUUCAACGUUGCUUUCUUCAGAGUAAAUGGAUGCCACGUGGAUGACUUGAACUCCAGAGUGGAAGUACUGACAGGGUGCAAUAUUGAAUUGCACUGUAUUCUCAAGCUUCACCCUGUCUUUGGGUGGAAGGGUGAUAUUUCCAUGGUCAGGCCUCAGGACCAAAAGCUUCUGAUUCAGAUUUCUGCCUUCAGAAUACAGCCACAUUGGAAGAGUCUGUUGUUUCAAGUUCCAUUGUGUUUGAAGACAAGUAUCUGCUGACACAGAUACUGUCAACAUCAGAUAGAAACCAUACAGUAAUAUGGUUUGUCUGGGUCGCUGAAGCCGAAUAGCAUGUGUGUCCAGUAUGAGGUCUGGUCACUGGUCACUUGGGAUGAUCCAAAUUUGUUUAUGGACAACUACAUGGAAACUCCAAAGUUCUAACAGAUGCUGAUAGGUUUGGAGGGAGAAUGAUGUCGUAAAGCAGGCAGUAGCCAAUAGGAAGGUCAGAUUCCUAGCCAGAAAAUGGGUUGGGGGUGGAGAGAAUGGCAGGAGAGCUGCAGCUACCCUGAAUGGCUGGGUCUAGGCGGGUGAAAGCCUGCAAGGCAGUUACGACAAUCCCUCUUCCCUCCCUUGUUAGGUUAGGGAGAUCAUCUCUGCGUUUCUUAUACAUAUUCAUUAACAAAGUUACUUAUAAUUUGCAGGUGAUAUUUUCAUGUGGUUCCCCACACGAUGUCUUGAGGAGAGAUGGGAAAGGAGGUACUUGAACUGAGUCUUGGAAGAUGAUAGGUGUUUCUUAGUGCACAAAUCUAGGAAGGGCAUCCAAGGCAGGCCAGAGCACAGCAUUACAACACGUUUGGCUAUUUAAAGAGAUAGGAAAUUUAUCCUGCGCCAAAGUGCCUCACUUUAUCCCACUUCAAAGUUCUCUCUUUUGAAGUGGACUGUCUAUUUUCAGUAUUAAAGUCUUUUAUUCUUUGGAACCUGAAACUUGAAAAGGAUUCUACAGGCUUCCUUCCACUUUCUGAUUGGAUUUGAGACCCACUCCACAGAAGGGAAUUCACUACAAUAUACUACAAACCUGAUCAAAAGCCCAAGGCAGAGAAGGUCCUAGACAUGAGUCGGGGGAGUUACUUAAGAUGUUUGAACAUGAUGUGCCCAUCAAAUGCUUUUCAUGUGUUUGUGUUCAUGUCCAUAGAUCAGUGCUGCUGUUUGCUUUCAUCAGAGAAGCAUCUCUUUGCUCUGGGCAGCAGUUAGUGAAGAGGCUCACACAUACCUGGUCAAGAAUCAGAGACUCUUUGGGAUGCUCAGCCCUAAAUGGGGCAUUUGUAUCACCCCCUCCAAGGCUCAGGGAACAUUGCGGAAGAGGGGCCGGAAAGAAUGUAAGAGCCAGAGGAAGGGGUGGAGUGAUGGAGAGUACUGUCUUCCGGGCAUGACGCGGCUGUUGUCCUUUCUGACUUACAGCAGCUCUGAUUACCUAUACAAAACCUGCAUACGAUUUAGCCCUGCCAGUCCCUGAGGACAUAUAGGCAGUUAAGGGUUGCUAGGGGAGAGGGUCUCAAAAGGCACUGCCUUUCCCUGAGGAUCUGUGGCCAAUUAGUGGGACCCUUUCUCUAGUGGUGUAGCUACUAGUAAGUUGUCCUGCUCCUGUAAUGACCCUAACUGAGCUCAUUGAUUGACAGAAGGGGAAGUAGGAGGAGCACUGUUGAAAAGAGGAAGAUGAUCAGUAGGAGAGAGUGGGUUCAUGGGGGUGAAUGUAGUCAAAAGUAUAUUGUAUACAUGAAUGAAAAUGUCCAAGGGAAACCUACUGUUUUGUUAUUAGCAUAUUAAUAUAUGUUAAUAAAAAUGAAACUAAAACAACAACCAAGCAAACAACCUGGCCUACUAAGAAGAUGCCCAUAUGGGGCUUAAGCCUUUCAACAUCGGAGGAGACUGUUAAAAUAGGACAUGUUGACUAGGGAUGUAGCUCAAUGAGGGAAUGUUUAUCUAGCAUGGACCUUUGUCCUCAGAACUGCUAGAGAACUGCUUUAAAUGGCAGACAUGGUAACGUGUUUCGUCUCGGCUGUGGAAUGUAGCCCGAAGUCCUUGGAAGAACACAAGAGCUAUCUACUACACCGUCUGGAUGUUACUUUUUUGAUGGAUCUCCUUCCUUUUUGUCUGCAUUCAUAUAUGUGUCUAUGUGUGCAUUCACACAGAGAUGUAUGUGUAGUAUACAUAUAUUCUGGCUCUAUGACUGUGUAUAUGUACACAUAUAUUCACAUGUGGCCAAUGUGUAUAAAAUUAUAUACAUGUC